GAUGAACGCUGGCGGCGUGCCUAAUACAUGCAAGUCGAACGAAGAUCUAGCUUGCUAGAUCUUAGUGGCGAACGGGUGAGUAAUACAUAAAUAAUCUGCCCAUAUGACUGGGAUAACUAUUGGAAACGAUAGCUAAUACCGGAUAGGUUGAUCGGAGGCAUCUCUGAUGAAUUAAAGUAGGAUUUCUACACAAAUGGAUGAGUUUGUGGCGCAUUAGUUAGUUGGUGGGGUAACGGCCUACCAAGACGAUGAUGCGUAGCCGACCUGAGAGGGUGACCGGCCACACUGGGACUGAGACACGGCCCAGACUCCUCCGGGAGGCAGCAGUAGGGAAUUUUCGGCAAUGGGCGCAAGCCUGACCGAGCAACGCCGCGUGAGUGAUUAAGGCCUUCGGGUUGUAAAGCUCUGUUGUAAGGGAAGAACAUUCAGGAUAGGAAAUGAUCUUGAACUGACGGUACCUUACCAGAAAGCCACGGCUAACUACGUGCCAGCCGCCGCGGUAA
RNAcentral lists this ribosomal RNA (503 nucleotides) under uncultured bacterium. RNAcentral's name for it is "partial 16S ribosomal RNA". It matches the Rfam family "Bacterial small subunit ribosomal RNA", at positions 28 to 523 of the family's 1533-position model. The record is from RNAcentral.